Long non-coding RNA from Mytilus trossulus (common blue mussel), 469 nucleotides. RefSeq lists it as uncharacterized. Lineage: Eukaryota; Metazoa; Mollusca; Bivalvia; Mytilida; Mytilidae. The transcript is spliced from 3 exons. The record is from RefSeq and is a predicted model, not a curated record.
AGGAAAUGUUUGUCUUUGUUAAACCACAUAUGAAUUUUCACAAAUCGCUAAUAUUUUGAGGAGGAAGUUUUCUCUCUUCAUUUGAAUAAGUUGUAAUAUACAGUUUAAUUGUAUUCGGCAUCAUUCGAAAACUGUACACCAUGUACACAGACAAUGAAUAAUUGACAACGAUAUUGUAGCCAGCAUACACAUUCUGAUAAAAUAGAGGAAACAGGUUAUUUGUUGAUCAGAAUGGCAUGUAUUCAACCACAGAACUUGAUAGAAUGGCAGCUGCAUUGUGUUCUAAAAAGAGCAAGCCUUCUUCAAUAUUAUGACAGUUUUAUCAGACAAGGUGAAUCCGAUGUUCUGCAGUUAUCUGAAGCAGACGAUAAUAAAUUUAAAGACGUCAUGGAGAGGGUUGGAAUGGCAAAGAAAUCGAUACAUGUUCGUCAGUUCAAAAACACGUUACUUGAAUGGAUGAAAGAUCCAG